AGUGAACGCUGGCGGUAGGCCUAACACAUGCAAGUCGAACGGCAGCACAGUAAGAGCUUGCUCUUACGGGUGGCGAGUGGCGGACGGGUGAGGAAUACAUCGGAAUCUACUUUUUCGUGGGGGAUAACGUAGGGAAACUUACGCUAAUACCGCAUACGACCUACGGGUGAAAGCAGGGGAUCUUCGGACUUUGCGCGAUUGAAUGAGCCGAUGUCGGAUUAGCUAGUUGGCGGGGUAAAGGCCCACCAAGGCGACGAUCCGUAGCUGGUCUGAGAGGAUGAUCAGCCACACUGGAACUGAGACACGGUCCAGACUCCUACGGGAGGCAGCAGUGGGGAAUAUUGGACAAUGGGCGCAAGCCUGAUCCAGCCAUACCGCGUGGGUGAAGAAGGCCUUCGGGUUGUAAAGCCCUUUUGUUGGGAAAGAAAAGCAGCAGGUUAAUACCCCGCUGUUCUGACGGUACCCAAAGAGUAAGCACCGGCUAACUUCGUG
RNAcentral lists this ribosomal RNA (492 nucleotides) under uncultured bacterium. RNAcentral's name for it is "partial 16S ribosomal RNA". It matches the Rfam family "Bacterial small subunit ribosomal RNA", at positions 29 to 507 of the family's 1533-position model. The record is from RNAcentral.